Molecule: ribosomal RNA, 357 nt
Filed under: uncultured bacterium
Lineage: Bacteria
Description: bacterial SSU rRNA
Rfam family: Bacterial small subunit ribosomal RNA
Source: RNAcentral
AGAGUUUGAUCAUGGCUCAGGAUGAACGCUAGCUACAGGCUUAACACAUGCAAGUCGAGGGGAAACGACAUCGAAAGCUUGCUUUUGAUGGGCGUCGACCGGCGCACGGGUGAGUAACGCGUAUCCAACCUGCCCAUCACUUGGGGAUAACCUUGCGAAAGUAAGACCUAAUACCCAAUGAUAUCUCUAGAAGACAUCUGAAAAGAGAUUAAAGAUUUAUCGGUGAUGGAUGGGGAUGCGUCUGAUUAGGCUUGUUGGCGGGGUAACGGCCACCAAGGCUACGAUCAGUAGGGGUUCUGACGAGGAAGGUCCCCCACAUUGGAACUGAGACACGGUCCAAACGUCCUACGGGAGGCA